Molecule: regulatory RNA element, 227 nt
Organism: Carnobacterium divergens DSM 20623
Lineage: Bacteria; Bacillati; Bacillota; Bacilli; Lactobacillales; Carnobacteriaceae
Rfam family: T-box leader
About the family: Uncharged tRNA acts as the effector for transcription antitermination of genes in the T-box leader family. T-boxes are found upstream of many aminoacyl-tRNA synthetase genes and some amino acid biosynthetic genes usually in Gram-positive bacteria.
Source: Rfam
AAAAAAGCUUUGAACAAGAGGAGUAUCUGCCCCUUAGAUUUUAGAGAAUAGAACAUUUGCUGAGAGUUCUUAAUCGAUGGACAGAAAAGGUAGCUUGGGAGCUGGAUAGGUGAAGUAGGAGUAACUUAUCUCGGGUAGUUAUCCGUUAAAGACUGAAAGUUGAGAGGUGUAUCGCAAUUAGAUACACAAAAUAGGUGGUACCGCGAAUUCAAGCAUUCGUCCUAAUA